AUGGCAAGGUGCAGUGUGGCUUGGCAAAGCGUGGCAAGGCGAAGCUUGGCAAGGCAAGGUGCAGCUUGGAAAGGCGUGGCUUGGCUAGGCUUGGCUUGGCUUGGCUUGGCAAGGAAACGCAUGACUUGGCUUGGCAACGUGCGGCCUGGCUUGGCUUGGCUUGGCUUGGCUAGGCUUGGCUUGGCUUGGCUUGGCAAGGCAAGGCAAGGAAUGGAAAGGCAAGGCUCAGUUUGGCUUGGCUUGGCUUGGCUUGGCUUGGCUUGGCUUGGCUUGGCUUGGCUUGGCUUGGCUUGGCUUGGCUUGGCUUGGCUUGGCUUGGCUUGGCUUGGCAUGGCUUGGCUUGGCUUGGCUUGGCUUGGCUUGGCUUGGCUUGGCAUGGGGNNNNNNNNNNNNNNNNNNNNNNNNNUGGCUUGGCUUGGCUUGGCUUGGCUUGGCUUGGCUUGGCUUGGCUUGGCUUGGCUUGGCUUGGCUUGGCUUGGCUUGGCUUGGCUUGGCUUGGCAUGGUGUGGCUUGGCAAGGCACGGUGUGGUGUGGCUUGGCUUGGCUUGGCUUGGCAAGGCAAGGCAAGGCAAGGUACAGCUUGGGUUGGCAAGGCAAGGCGCGGCAAGGCAAGGCAAGACAAGGCAGGGUGCAGCUUGGUUUGGAAAGGCAAGGCAAGGAAUACAUGUGCAUGUUUCAGUGACAAGAAUAAAAGGGAGAAAAACUCGCACUAAAUCAGGUUGAGAAUACUGUAAAAUACGGUUAGAAAAAAACCUAGCUAGGACGAACAGAGAAUGAACUGGUUUUCUCCUUGUUCAUCUUUAAGAAAAUAAUCCAGCCAGCUGAAUAAUGCAGGUAAAUCUCAGGAAAUUAUGAAGAGCCUGGGAUACAUCUAUACUUUGUGAAAUGAUAUAAAUGACAGGCAGCCUGUGCUCAGCUACUAUCUGCUUAAUGCUGGGCCUGAGGGUAAAAGGAGGUUUCAGCUUUCUAAUCUUAUAUUACCAAUGUAAAGAAUUUGAAAGUCAGGAGCUGAGCAGUAUAGCUUAAUCGUACUCUUCUGAAAGAUCAAAUUAUUCUUAAAAUAGAUUUUGUUGCUUAUUUUUCUUACUGGAUUCAGAGCUUUUAGGAUUGAUCUAAUUCAUUUUUAUAAAAGGAAAAGAACUUAAAAAUGAAAUUCAUGACUUUUACAAAUCACAAAGUACAAAAUCGUGAAUCUUCAUGAACAGUACCAAAAAAACAAAACAAAACAAAAAAAACACCAGCCAACACAAAACUGGAUAUUCCCAGUGAAACCAGAAAAGAUUCUUCAUUGUCCUUUAUGUACAUUAAUGAGGAAAACACGUUAACAUUAAUAAAAACAAAGAUGACCAGAUGAAUUUAGAGCUA
RNAcentral lists this long non-coding RNA (1365 nucleotides) under Anser cygnoides (Swan goose). RNAcentral's name for it is "lncRNA (ENSACDG00005002458.1)". The record is from RNAcentral. Lineage: Eukaryota; Metazoa; Chordata; Aves; Anseriformes; Anatidae.